This 483-nucleotide ribosomal RNA is filed under the name uncultured bacterium. RNAcentral describes it as "partial 16S ribosomal RNA". It matches the Rfam family "Bacterial small subunit ribosomal RNA", at positions 28 to 523 of the family's 1533-position model. The record is from RNAcentral.
GACGAACGCUGGCGGCGUGCUUAACACAUGCAAGUCGAACGAUGAAGCCGGAGCUUGCUCCGGUGGAUUAGUGGCGAACGGGUGAGUAACACGUGAGCAAUCUGCCCUUGACUCUGGGAUAACUGCGGGAAACUGUAGCUAAUACCGGAUACGACACCUUGGGGCAUCCCAGGGUGUGGAAAGAAUGUCGGUAAAGGAUGAGCUCGCGGCCUAUCAGCUAGUUGGUGAGGUAAUGGCUCACCAAGGCGACGACGGGUAGCCGGCCUGAGAGGGUGACCGGCCACACUGGAACUGAGACACGAUCCAGACUCCUACGGGAGGCAGCAGUGGGGAAUAUUGCACAAUGGGCGAAAGCCUGAUGCAGCAACGCCGCGUGAGGGAUGAAGGCCUUCGGGUUGUAAACCUCUUUUAGCAGGGAAGAAGCGAAAGUGACGGUACCUGCAGAAAAAGCACCGGCUAACUACGUGCCAGCAGCCGCAGUAA